AUUGAACGCUGGCGGCAGGCUUAACACAUGCAAGUCGAGCGGAAACAGAGAUAGCUUGCUAUCAGAUGUCGAGCGGCGGACGGGUGAGUAACGCGUAGGAAUCUACCUAGUAGUGGGGGAUAGCCCAGAGAAAUUUGGAUUAAUACCGCAUACGCCCUGAGGGGGAAAGGAGGGGAUCUUCGGACCUUUCGCUAUUAGAUGAGCCUGCGUAAGAUUAGCUAGAUGGUGGGGUAAUGGCCUACCAUGGCGACGAUCUUUAGCUGGUUUGAGAGGAUGAUCAGCCACACUGGGACUGAGACACGGCCCAG
Molecule: ribosomal RNA, 308 nt
Filed under: uncultured bacterium
Lineage: Bacteria
Description: bacterial SSU rRNA
Rfam family: Bacterial small subunit ribosomal RNA
Source: RNAcentral